UACGUAGGGUGCAAGCGUUAAUCGGAAUUACUGGGCGUAAAGCGUGCGCAGGCGGUUGUGUAAGACAGAUGUGAAAUCCCCGGGCUCAACCUGGGAACUGCAUUUGUGACUGCACAGCUGGAGUGCGGCAGAGGGGGAUGGAAUUCCGCGUGUAGCAGUGAAAUGCGUAGAUAUGCGGAGGAACACCGAUGGCGAAGGCAAUCCCCUGGGCCUGCACUGACGCUCAUGCACGAAAGCGUGGGGGAGCAAACAGG
RNAcentral lists this ribosomal RNA (254 nucleotides) under uncultured bacterium. Its description in RNAcentral is "partial 16S ribosomal RNA". It matches the Rfam family "Bacterial small subunit ribosomal RNA", at positions 524 to 776 of the family's 1533-position model. The record is from RNAcentral.